AGAAUGUGAACCUUGGCUUCUGCCAUGCUAAAAAAUGAUUUUGUGUGUAUUCAUAUCCAUGUGUAAUGUUUAUUUAUAUUUAUGUAUGAACCAUAUGCAAUGGGCUCAAGGCUAUGUGUGGUGUGUAUCUCCUUCUUUCAUGGAUACGAGUCAUUUAUCACUUCUUUACUACUUUGCUUAUUCAUUGCUCCAAUAUGCUGUGGAUCAUUAUCAAUUGAUGUUUGGAAAAGAUUGGGAAAAAAAAAAAAAAGAG
RNAcentral lists this unclassified non-coding RNA (253 nucleotides) under Hevea brasiliensis (rubber tree). The record is from RNAcentral. Lineage: Eukaryota; Viridiplantae; Streptophyta; Magnoliopsida; Malpighiales; Euphorbiaceae.